GGAUGUUGCAUCUUUCCAGCAUAGACAGUACAAUUAUCCACCUGCACAAAGGUUUUCUGGACCAGGGUCCUCCACUGACCAGUCUAACUAAAAACAUAGGGACUGUUCCCUUCAACAGGUGGCAAAGAACAGUAGUGACAUGGCCUGGGCGAAAAUCCACUUCAGCAGGCUCGGGGUCAUGCCAACAGAGAGCCAGUGUCCCGCCUGGGCUAAGUGGAGAUGGGACAGGUCCCCAUGUCAGCAGCCCAGGACUGACGCCUCACUCCACACCACCUGCGGUCUGCACCUGCUUCAUUUAACCUUCCUGGCAAACCUCAGCAUCCAUUUGCAGGGAGGGGGCAGAGCCUGUCCGAGCCUGAAGCCAGGCCGGUCCUUCCCCUGCCUCCCCGGGCUGAGCGCUGGGCUAGGGUUCGAUGCGGUUGGGCAGGUGACAGCGUGGGAGGCACGGGACUGGGGCUCCCACAGGGCUGCGUUGCAGGCACCCUCCGCCGAAGGGCUGGCUCGGCCACCUCCGGCAAGCUAGCCGGGUCCCAUGACUGCACCUUGGCCGGGCUCGGGGGGUCGCCCAAGGACCCCAAGAUCCUCCCAGGCGGCGGCCGGGGUAAAAUGACCGAAAAUGGAGGAUAAUUUAAACAUCCCCCAAAUUCAUGAAGAAAAGGUUUAAACUGAACUUACCGGACAUUCUGACCUGAAAGAAGAAGCAACUUUUAUAACAGCUUAUGUUGCAGCAGAAGAAUCAAUCACCUGGGCUCCUAGAUGCUGGGGGGAAAGGGAACAAAAAAUAAGACUUUUAAAAUAUAAAAAAAGAAUACCCAAGACCAUUGUGAAAAUUCCAGGUGGAGACAAACAAUAUUAAUGUUUUAUACCUACAGAUAUAAGUUUGAGUUUUUCUCCCCUAAUGCCAAGUAUUUAAAACCUCUAGAAACCAAUGAUUUGACAAUCAAUGAUUGCGCGAUACUUUCAAUUUGAAUAUUCAAAGGCUUAACAAAAUGGUCUAUCUUUUUGUGAAACCCAGCACAUCUCCAUGUAGCAGAGGGUCUUGGGGAAUAAGAUUUGGUGGGGGGGCCUUCCCCACUCCUUGCUUUUGGGACAUUUUGAACUUUUUAUCCACCUUUCCACAAACAAAGCAGAUGCCCCGAAACCUGGUCAGUAUUUUCAUCUCAGAUACACACACUUGGCCCCAAUUCUCUCAUAUUUCACUUGCCAGCUGCAAAGGACUUUCUGCAAGGGCACAGGGUGAUUUUUGCACAAUUUUUCACAUUUUAAGGCUAAAUUUGAGGAUUUUGGAGCAAAAUGGCAGUUGGUGGGCGUGGCAUAAUAGAGACUCUGUCUGGGGCACCAGAAUAGCUAUAGGUGACCAAAGUGAGCUUUUAUUUCAUUCUGUUCCCCUCCCUCAUCCUCCGUUUGUGCCCUUCAUUGGAUUUUAUUUGUAUUUUUCCCAGUUCAUGAUCUUCACACCUAUUCCAUAAAGUGGCCUCUUUCAGAUUAGAUUCCCCCAAAUUGACCUGUGUGGGGAUCCUUGCAUGGACAGCCAAUUUAGCUCUAGCAAGGGUAGCUUGACUUGUUUUUGGCCAGCGUUGGACAAUCAGUAUAGAAUCCCAAUUUUUUUACACUGUAUGUAAACAUUCCCUAUGCCCUGCCGUUAUUACCCUCCACCAGGAAUAGCUGCUUAAAGCAGAAAGCAGGGUAGGCUGUUAAUCAUCUACCAGCAGUUUAAUUUAGCUAUUGUUACUCUUUUUCUUCUUAAGUUCAACAAAUAUACUUGAUUUGUGUUAGGGAGUGGCACCGAGGUGGUCUCAGAAAUGUCCUUAUUCCAGCCCUGAAACAUUUUCAUGCAAAAAGUGAUUACUUUUGUUGGGGCAAAUACUGGAGCAGAAUAACAGGAAAGAAAGCCCCUACUUUGUUAUAAGUAUAAAACAGAACUCUAAUAAUGUCCCCAUAUUAAUAAUUCUGUUUUAUAUAUGCUUUUCACCAUGAUGUACACUCAUCAAUUUCGCUGUUGGUGAAUAAAACAACAACAAUACGA
This is a long non-coding RNA of Gopherus evgoodei (Goodes thornscrub tortoise), 2026 nucleotides long. RefSeq lists it as uncharacterized. The record is from RefSeq and is a predicted model, not a curated record. Lineage: Eukaryota; Metazoa; Chordata; Testudines; Testudinidae. The transcript has 2 exons.